CCCGGCGUGUCCCCGCCGGUAUCCUAGGGAGGCGUGCUACCGUUGCGCUGAUGACGGGGUGCGAAGCCCUCCUGACAAUGUACCGAAUUGGGAGGAAGCCGCGAGGCGGAACCCCCUCCGAGAA
RNAcentral lists this non-coding RNA (124 nucleotides) under marine eukaryotic metagenome. The record is from RNAcentral.